Molecule: ribosomal RNA, 158 nt
Filed under: uncultured Myriangium
Lineage: Eukaryota; Fungi; Ascomycota; Dothideomycetes; Myriangiales; Myriangiaceae
Description: 5.8S ribosomal RNA
Rfam family: 5.8S ribosomal RNA
About the family: 5.8S ribosomal RNA (5.8S rRNA) is a component of the large subunit of the eukaryotic ribosome. It is transcribed by RNA polymerase I as part of the 45S precursor that also contains 18S and 28S rRNA.
Source: RNAcentral
AAACCUUCAACAACGGAUCUCUUGGCUCUGGCAUCGAUGAAGAACGCAGCGAAAUGCGAUACGUAAUGUGAAUUGCAGAAUUAAGUGAAUCAUCGAAUCUUUGAACGCACAUUGCGCCCCCUGGUAUUCCGGGGGGCAUGCCUGUUCGAGCGUCAUUA